Molecule: long non-coding RNA, 1167 nt
Organism: Sebastes umbrosus (honeycomb rockfish)
Lineage: Eukaryota; Metazoa; Chordata; Actinopteri; Perciformes; Sebastidae
Exons: 2
Source: RefSeq, a predicted model, not a curated record
CAUUUUAUAAGAAUAACUUUUUUAAAAUCAUAUUUGCUCCAUUUCUACCCACUGCAGCUUUGAUUGUUGUCAAACUUCCAUAAUAAUUUUUUGAGGUUAUUCUGUACAGACUUUUCAUUUGAAUAUGCACCUUAUCUAUAUUAUCAUUUAAUAAUAACAUAAGUAACAUUCACAAAAAAAAAAAAAAUCAAUGCAAACUCGUUCUCUAAUGAUGGUUUAUCAUCAAACAAGUUCAGCAGUGUGCCAACUGAUUGUUUCAGACCAUGUAGAAAUUAAUGGAAACAAAUGGCUGCCUGGAAUAAUAGCAAAAUAUAUACAUGAUUUGUAGUUCAGGAACUGAUAAUGAUCAGAAAAGGCUGUUUGGUAGUGAUAUUUAAUGGUAGAAUAAAAUAAAAUGCAUUGCUAUACAAGUCAGUCAUGACUCCCAAACAUUAAAUGUCAGAGAAUGCUUUUAAAUGUCAUCCGACACUGUGACCUGUCAGAGGUUUCAACUAAUGUUUAAUGAUGUUUACAAGCUUAUGGUUCUAAAAAAUGUCCGCCUACACAAAUCUGUUAGUGAUGAUGACUUAAAUUUGGAUGUGUAGACGACUGAGGGGUUUGAGAAAAUGACUCCAAUCAAGUUCAGACAUUUGCUCUUUAUCUUUACGAGGAAAUCCUUCUCUAGACAUGUUUUUAGUGUUCGGUGUAGUUUUAUGGAGACAAAGAUCUGCUUGUAACAAAGCUGCUUUAUUGUUUCAUUUAAGAGAUUGUAUGUUCCUGUCAUUUUGUACUUAAAUGUGCUAAAUUUGGAAUUCAGAGCAUUAAUAUAGCAGCAAAACACUAUUUGCUAUAACACAUUUUCUGCAAUUUGUGGGUUACCUUCUAGACACAGCCUAAUUUUAUCACUCGGCAGUCGAGCCAUUUCGGCUUCAUGCUCUACUGAGGAACUUUUAUAGGAAUGAACGGGGAACCGCCUCCGACGCUGUAUCCAGAUCUCUUUAUCCAUCCAUGCUAUGAUGUAGUGGAGUUAUCAUAGCAGAAGAUAGACAGGAAAGAAGGAAAGAGAAGGGAUGACAGGCAGCAAAGGGCCGCGGGUCGGAUUCAAACCUGGGGCUGCCUGACAUAGCUGAUCACACCACAUUUUAACAUGCGUUAAAAAAUAAAAUCAGUCAUAAUAACAUGUAAUGU